CAUUGCUUCCUUGGCGCUAGCUAGCCGUGCACUCGCAUUACCAGUGCAAGCGAGGUCUUCGAAUACGUAUCUUUGUUUCGGAUCGCAGUGUCACAAGUUAAGCUGGUUUGAGAGCGUUUAGUCGCCUACCUUAGACGCACCAAUAGAGAUCAGACAGCUAUUCUGUUAGAAUUCUGUAGGGUAGACCGGGGACAAUAGAAACACGUCAUGAUUGAAACAAGUCAAAUUUCUCGAAAACUAUAAUACCUACGCGUCUGACGUAACACUCGGAACACGCGGUCGGCCAUGUUUGAAUCCUUGGCCAGUAGCGCUCGAGCGCCGGUGCGAGACGGGAGUGUCCACGAGCCAAACCAGUUUUUCGCGGUAAAAAAUGCCCCGAAAACGGAAGCAUGUUACGGAGAGAACCUCAAAAAGCAUGUUUGCCAUUUUAGCAACAACCGACUGCUGCCAACCGGCUGAUUAAACAGGUCGGCCACUGCUAAAAUUUAUAUCAGAGAGAGUUAAGGAUUUUUUUUUGAUAGGCAUAUCGCCAUGUUUUUGUUUACGUAAUAAAACAAUUUAUACUGAUUA
Long non-coding RNA from Cydia pomonella (codling moth), 570 nucleotides. RefSeq lists it as uncharacterized. The record is from RefSeq and is a predicted model, not a curated record. Lineage: Eukaryota; Metazoa; Arthropoda; Insecta; Lepidoptera; Tortricidae. The transcript has 2 exons.